This 423-nucleotide ribosomal RNA is filed under the name uncultured bacterium. RNAcentral's name for it is "bacterial SSU rRNA". It matches the Rfam family "Bacterial small subunit ribosomal RNA", at positions 28 to 486 of the family's 1533-position model. The record is from RNAcentral.
GAUGAACGCUGGCGGCGUGCCUAAUACAUGCAAGUCGAACGGAGGGUCGCAAGGCUCUUAGUGGCGAACGGGUGAGUAACGCGUUGGUACCUGCCCCAAAGCGGGGGAUAACGGACCGAAAGGUCCGCUAAUACCCCAUGUGCUCCGUGAGGAGUAAAGGCGAAAGUCACUUUGGGAGGGGCCUGCGUCCCAUCAGCUAGUUGGUAGGGUAACGGCUUACCAAGGCGAUGACGGGUAGGGGACCUGAGAGGGUGGCCCCCCCACAAUGGAACUGAAACACGGUCCAUACACCUACGGGUGGCAGCAGUAGGGAAUAUUGGUAAUGGGCGAAAGCCUGAACCAGCAACGCCGCGUGUGCGAUGACGGCCUCGGUUGGUUAAAGCGACUUUUUUCCGGGUACGAGGAAGGACGGUACCGGAAGAA